GAUGAACGCUAGCGAUAGGCUUAACACAUGCAAGUCGAGGGGCAGCAUGGUCUUAGCUUGCUAAGGCUGAUGGCGACCGGCGCACGGGUGCGUAACGCGUAUGCAACUUGCCUCACAGAGGGGGAUAACCCGUCGAAAGACGGACUAAUACCGCGUACACUCUAUGUUGGGCAUCCAAUGUAGAGGAAAUGAAAUUCGCUGUGAGAUAGGCAUGCGUCCCAUUAGCUAGUUGGUGAGGUAACGGCUCACCAAGGCGACGAUGGGUAGGGGAACUGAGAGGUUGAACCCCCACACUGGUACUGAGACACGGACCAGACUCCUACGGGAGGCAGCAGUGAGGAAUAAUGGUCAAUGGGCGAGAGCCUGAACCAGCCAAGUCGCGUGAAGGAUGACUGUCUUAUGGAUUGUAAACUUCUUUUAUACGGGAAUAACAAGAGUCACGUGUGGCUCCCUGCAUGUACCGUAUGAAUAAGCAUCGGCUAACUCCGUG
Molecule: ribosomal RNA, 490 nt
Filed under: uncultured bacterium
Lineage: Bacteria
Description: partial 16S ribosomal RNA
Rfam family: Bacterial small subunit ribosomal RNA
Source: RNAcentral